UUCUGUUUUUAGAAAGAUAUUUUGCCAUCAUUACUAUUACUAGCUGCUUAUUAUCCUGUUUCAUAUCUGCUUUCAAAUUAUCAUUAUUUAGUGGAGAAGAAUGUUACCCGAAACAGUACAACAAUUGGUAAUAGCCACAUUGUUGUAACGUGCUUCUGAAAUUGAAGUGCAACAGGAAUAUUCUAUUAUCUGUUGCUCCUCCUACCGUGUUGAAUAUGUAGAUUGCAUGCUUAUUCAGUAAUUAGCAUCUAAUGCACUAAAACAGUGAAGAAACUAUUUGUGCUUUCUCCUCCAAAUAGGUGCUGUUAACAGAUCCCACAUUAGAAACCAUUAUGGCUAUGAGUUAUAGCAAGUUAUUGGACCUGUCAACUACUUAAUGUUGUCAUGUGUUUCAGAUAGGGAUGCUGAAUGCUGAUAAAGAAUGAAAACUUUUUUCAGUUUUAGAGAUGAUAAUUUUGUGUCAAGGUUUUAUAAGGAUUGAAUUUAUUGGGUGUGAUUGUUCAUUGCCAUCUUUCAUUUUUCUAGUUGUAUAAAGCACUUGCUGCAAAUCUGAUGGUAAAGUAAUUGGUGAUUAAGUGGCUCUUACUUUCCUUAUCCAUCUACCUCAUUCUAACUCUGGUUCUACACCAUCUUCACAGUAAUUUUUCUAAUAUAGUAAUAGUCAUGUCCAGAUUUUUACACACUCUCUGGAAAUGACACUGAUUAUGAUUAAACAUUUGUGAUAUAUAAAGGUAUCUGGCAAGCAGUGGAUAGCACACCAUUUUUUUACUUGAGACACGUGUAGGGCUUGAAAUUUCUAUCGCUGCUUUAGUUUACUUCACAAAAUUUCUUAAACAGAAUGUUAACAGCUUUUCUAGCAAUGGCACAGUGGUAGUGAAUUGUUGGUUACAGCACUAGCAUUAGUUCUUAAUAGCUUGUUAUGUUUUUGCUUUCAAUUUCUUUGCUGGAUGUGGAUACAGUGUGUUAUAUCUUGGUAAUAUGUUCUGUCUGUUAGGAUUAAGUUCUACCAUCUUAGAAAGGAUUCUCAAACGGGUCUAUGCAGUUUAAUAUAGCUGUUAGCUAAAAAAAAUUGAUUUUUUUCCCUUUCCUUUAAUGUUAUAUGUUUCUGUUUUGAAUUAGUGAGUAAUUUAAUGUGGCUUCUAUGAAAAACUGGUUUCUAUCAUGUUUUGUUUUAUGCACAAGAGUAGGAAGCACAGUUAAUUGCAGUAGCAGUUUUGUCUAUGCUUGUUAUAAUAGUGUAUAGUAGAUACAGCUCAGUUGUUGCUGACUCAAUAUAAGAGUUACUUAGUUAAGCUAACUACUUCUGUACUCUCUAUAAAUACUCUACUGUGUAAUUCUGUUUUAACUAACUCAUUCAUAAUACGAUAAUAGUUUUCAUAAUAUUUCAGUUCUCUCUCUCUCUCUCUCUCUCUCACCUCCAUGGAUUUCUUCAUGGUAUCCAGAGCUUCCUAAAGCCUUCAAUGGCAGUUCGAUCCUAUUUUUUCGCUUCUGCAAGCACAUCCUUCUUGUGUUUUGUUUGGUUGUUUGUGUGAUUCAAGUGAAUCCAUGAUUUUUCGAUUCUGUUUGGAUUUCCGAUCUGGAAAACUGUGUUUCUUCGAUCGUUGCGUCGCUUUGAUCGCGAUUUCGAUCCAGUUUGAAUUCUGUUCUUAGAUUUCGAUUCUGUUACCUCUUUGAUCGCGAUUUCUGUUUUGUGCGAUUUCUCCAUUCUUCGCACUCCUUUGGUCUCGAUCUCUGGUUGCACGCGAUUUGCUAGUAUUAGCGGCAUCUGUUUCCGGCAUCUCUGUUCGUUCUUCUUUAAUCGCGUUUCUAUGAUCAUGGUCUUAGAUUCGUGUUCUCUUUUCCUGCGAUUUCAGAAUCAGGUUUCAUGUUUUUGGUUUGUGUAUGCUAUGUCAUUGUCGCCGAUUAAUGCGGUUCCGGUGACCGGAGGUCCCCGGUAAACUCCUCCUCUGGCGCUGGAAAUAAUUUCGCAUAUCAUGUUAUGGUUAAACUUACAGAUGAUAACUUUUUGCUUUGGAAGCAGCAAAUUGGACCGGUUCUAAAGGUUCAUCGACUUCAACGUUUUGUUGUCCGCCCACUAAUUCCCCCAAAGUAUCUUACACAAGAAGUGCAGACAUGGAUAAAGAAAAUCCAGCAUAUGCAGCAUGGGAAUAUCAAGAUCAAUCACUGCUAGUUUGGCUUCAGUCGUUCUUAUCUGAGGCAAUUCUGUCAAAAGUUGUUGGAAAAGAUACAUAAUCAUUUUUAUGCUAAAACAAAAGCAAAAUUCAGAUAUCUUCGCACAGAACUUAGGAAUACCAGAAAAGGUGAACGCUCCAUAGUUGAAUUUCUCACUCGUAUAAAAACAAUUGUUGAUUCUUUACUAGCCAUUGGACAAACUGUUUCUGUUCAGGAACAGAUAGAUGUUAUUCUUGAAGGUUUGCCAAGUGAAUAUGAGUCACUGGUUACUACAAUCAGCAGUAAGAUUGAUCAGUUCAAAUUUGAGGAGAUCUAAUCUCUUCUUUUGGCUCAAGAACAAAGGCUUGAAAAGUUAAGAGAAAGUGUUGUUGCUCCUGCACUGAAUUUGACUCGAGCUCAAACAGCAAAGGCAGAGGAUACUGACUCGGAUUCAACACCUCAAGUGCAGUUUACUCAACACAAUGAUAGGGGCAGAUCUUCUAAUUCCAGAGGUAGAGGUGGCAGAUCUAGUUAUGUAUAUAGAGGAGGCAGAAAUUAUGGUAACAUUGAUAACAGAAACUAUGGAAAUAAUUAUAACAGGAAUUUUGGAAAUGGUGAUCACUGAAAUUAUGGAAAUACUGAUAGGUAUAAAAUACAGUGUCAAGUCUGCUACAAGUUUGGCCACAGUGCAGCUUAUUGCUAUCACAGGUUUAAUCCAAAUUAUGUAGCUCAACAGUAUAAUCAGAAUCAUUCUGGGAAUCAGAACAGAAACUACUCCUAUCAUAGGCCUAAUUCUCAACCUCAGAACAAUAACUCUCAGUCACAGCACAAUGCACAAGCUCCUCAAGCCUACUUAGCCAAUGCUAAUCCUACUCAGCAGUCACAGAAUUGGUACAUUGAUUCUGGUGCAACUCAUCACGUCACUGCAUCUCCUCAGAACUUGAUGAAUGAAGUUCCAACCUCGGCCAAUGAGCAUGUUUUCCUUAGCAGCGGUCAAGGUUGAUGGUUUCAUACUCCUUAGAGGUGCUCUUAGCUAAGAUGACCUCUAUGUCUUCUCAAAUCUUUUGAAUUCUUCUGUCAAGUCUACUGUUGGAAGGGCUGCUGCCUCUGUUCAUAUGUCUUCACUUUCAGCUUUGUCUUCUCAUUGUAAUAAUGUCAAUUCUAGUAACUCUAGUUUACUUUCUCUUUAGCUUAAUAGGCUAGGUCAUCCUAGUUCUGCUGUUGUAACUCAUGUUCUUAGGACUUGUAAUAUACCUUUUUUCAAUAAAAUGACAGAAGAAUUGUGUAC
This is a long non-coding RNA of Glycine soja, 3439 nucleotides long. RefSeq lists it as uncharacterized. The record is from RefSeq and is a predicted model, not a curated record. Lineage: Eukaryota; Viridiplantae; Streptophyta; Magnoliopsida; Fabales; Fabaceae. The transcript has 2 exons.